This 493-nucleotide ribosomal RNA is filed under the name uncultured bacterium. Its description in RNAcentral is "partial 16S ribosomal RNA". It matches the Rfam family "Bacterial small subunit ribosomal RNA", at positions 29 to 523 of the family's 1533-position model. The record is from RNAcentral.
AUUGAACGCUGGCGGCAUGCUUUACACAUGCAGGUCGAACGGUAACAGGUUAAGCUGACGAGUGGCGAACGGGUGAGUAAUGCAUCGGAACGUGCCCGGUCGUGGGGGGUAACGCAGCGAAAGUUGCGCUAAUACCGCAUACGAUCUGAGGAUGAAAGCGGGGGACCGUAAGGCCUCGCGCGAUCGGAGCGGCCGAUGUCAGAUUAGGUAGUUGGUGGGGUAAAGGCUCACCAAGCCAACGAUCUGUAGCUGGUCUGAGAGGACGACCAGCCACACUGGGACUGAGACACGGCCCAGACUCCUACGGGAGGCAGCAGUGGGGAAUUUUGGACAAUGGGCGAAAGCCUGAUCCAGCAAUGCCGCGUGCAGGAAGAAGGCCUUCGGGUUGUAAACUGCUUUUGUACGGAGCGAAAAGGUCUCCUCUAAUACAGGGGGCUCAUGACGGUACCGUAAGAAUAAGCACCGGCUAACUACGUGCCAGCAGCCGCGGUAA